This 64-nucleotide transfer RNA is filed under the name Dipodomys ordii (Ord's kangaroo rat). It matches the Rfam family "tRNA". From Rfam's summary of the family: Transfer RNA (tRNA) molecules are approximately 80 nucleotides in length. Lineage: Eukaryota; Metazoa; Chordata; Mammalia; Rodentia; Heteromyidae. The record is from Rfam by way of RNAcentral.
GGUGGCUCAGCAGUAGAGUGCUUGCUUCGCAUGCAUGAAGCCCUGGGUUUGAUCCUCAGCACCA